AUCCCAUGAUGAGGGCAUUCACGUUGAUACUCUUUGUAACGAUCCCAAGCAUCAAACAAGGAUUCAUCCCUUUUAUGCUCAAAGUAUUGAAUUUAUUUCUUGUACUU
Molecule: non-coding RNA, 107 nt
Organism: Spinacia oleracea (spinach)
Lineage: Eukaryota; Viridiplantae; Streptophyta; Magnoliopsida; Caryophyllales; Amaranthaceae
Source: Rfam